UCCCGUGUGGCUCAGUUGGUAGAGCAUGGCACUUACAACGCCAGGGUUAUGGGUUUGAUUCCUACAGGGGAC
Molecule: non-coding RNA, 72 nt
Organism: Salmo salar (Atlantic salmon)
Lineage: Eukaryota; Metazoa; Chordata; Actinopteri; Salmoniformes; Salmonidae
Source: Rfam